CAUCGCCUGCAGCCAGGAUUGCAGGUACGGCCUGCCCAAUGAUUAAUUAAAUGGCCGCAGUAUUCUGACUGUGCAAAGGUAGCAUAAUCAUUUGUCUCUUAAUUAGAGGCUGGUAUGAAUGGCUAAACGUGGGGCAAUCUGUGUCACUUAUUAGCUUGAACUUAAUUUUUAAGUUAAAAAGCUUAAAUCUAAAAGCAGGACGAGAAGACCCCGUAGAUCUUUAUAUUGGAAAAUUUUUAUUUCUUAGUCGAUAAUAAUAAAAAUAUUGGUAAUAUUUUGUUGGGGUGACAUGAAGUAAUAAACACUUUUUUGAAAUACAAUAAUAGUAGGUUUAAUGAUCCGGAUCCGAUUAAAAAAUUAAGUUACCUCGGGGAUAACAGCGUAAUCUGCCUUGAGAGUUCUUAUCAAACGGCAGGGUUGCGACCUCGAUGUUGGAUUAAGAAUCCCACCAUGAGCAAUCCUGUGGUUGGGAGGUCUGUUCGACCUAUAAAUUCUUACAUGAUCU
Molecule: ribosomal RNA, 505 nt
Filed under: Ophelmastoma camerunense
Lineage: Eukaryota; Metazoa; Arthropoda; Insecta; Ephemeroptera; Baetidae
Description: partial 16S ribosomal RNA
Rfam family: Archaeal large subunit ribosomal RNA
Source: RNAcentral